Molecule: long non-coding RNA, 340 nt
Filed under: Struthio camelus australis
Lineage: Eukaryota; Metazoa; Chordata; Aves; Struthioniformes; Struthionidae
Description: lncRNA (ENSSCUG00000007877.1)
Source: RNAcentral
UUUCUUUUAGCAGCAACAGGGUGAUGAGGGUAUGACUGAGUCACUGCUGUGUUUCUCGACAAUCUCAUCACAGCUAGAAGCAUCGUUUGAUGAAGAAAGAGAAAUAUUAGAAUCUUUGGCUAAGUGGUUUGGAAAAGAAGCCCAACUGAUGGAAGAACUAGGAGAAGAACAACACGCUGUGGAUUCUCUACUUCCUAUGGCUGACAAAAGUAUAAUGGAAGGCAUUUCUAAACUGACUGUGUGUGUCCAGAGGCUUGAAAGACUGAAGAGUUGUCUUCAGAAUCUUGCAGGACAUGCCCCUCCUUCUGUGGUUAAGAAAGAACAUAAGAAAGACCUGUAA